Molecule: ribosomal RNA, 594 nt
Filed under: Brevibacterium sp. CMT11
Lineage: Bacteria; Bacillati; Actinomycetota; Actinomycetes; Micrococcales; Brevibacteriaceae
Description: bacterial SSU rRNA
Rfam family: Bacterial small subunit ribosomal RNA
Source: RNAcentral
AGACGACGACGGGUAGCCGGCCUGAGAGGGCGACCGGCCACACUGGGACUGAGACACGGCCCAGACUCCUACGGGAGGCAGCAGUGGGGAAUAUUGCACAAUGGGGGAAACCCUGAUGCAGCGACGCAGCGUGCGGGAUGACGGCCUUCGGGUUGUAAACCGCUUUCAGCAGGGAAGAAGCGCAAGUGACGGUACCUGCAGAAGAAGUACCGGCUAACUACGUGCCAGCAGCCGCGGUAAUACGUAGGGUACGAGCGUUGUCCGGAAUUAUUGGGCGUAAAGAGCUCGUAGGUGGUUGGUCACGUCUGCUGUGGAAACGCAACGCUUAACGUUGCGCGUGCAGUGGGUACGGGCUGACUAGAGUGCAGUAGGGGAGUCUGGAAUUCCUGGUGUAGCGGUGAAAUGCGCAGAUAUCAGGAGGAACACCGGUGGCGAAGGCGGGACUCUGGGCUGUAACUGACACUGAGGAGCGAAAGCAUGGGGAGCGAACAGGAUUAGAUACCCUGGUAGUCCAUGCCGUAAACGUUGGGCACUAGGUGUGGGGGGCAUUCCACGUUCUCCGCGCCGUAGCUAACGCAUUAAGUGCCCCGCUGG